This 505-nucleotide ribosomal RNA is filed under the name uncultured bacterium. RNAcentral's name for it is "partial 16S ribosomal RNA". It matches the Rfam family "Bacterial small subunit ribosomal RNA", at positions 29 to 523 of the family's 1533-position model. The record is from RNAcentral.
AUUGAACGCUGGCGGCAGGCCUAAUACAUGCAAGUCGGACGGUAGCACAGAGGAGCUUGCUCCUCGGGUGACGAGUGGCGGACGGGUGAGUAAUGUCUGGGGAUCUGCCCGAUAGAGGGGGAUAACCACUGGAAACGGUGGCUAAUACCGCAUAACGUCGCAAGACCAAAGAGGGGGACCUUCGGGCCUCUCACUAUCGGAUGAACCCAGAUGGGAUUAGCUAGUAGGCGGGGUAACGGCCACCUAGGCGACGAUCCCUAGCUGGUCUGAGAGGAUGACCAGCCACACUGGAACUGAGACACGGUCCAGACUCCUACGGGAGGCAGCAGUGGGGAAUAUUGCACAAUGGGCGCAAGCCUGAUGCAGCCAUGCCGCGUGUAUGAAGAAGGCCUUCGGGUUGUAAAGUACUUUCAGCGGGGAGGAAGGCGAUGUGGUUAAUAACCGCAUUGAUUGACGUUACCCGCAGAAGAAGCACCGGCUAACUCCGUGCCAGCCGCCGCGGUAA